GCCCCCUUCCCGGCCCCGUCGUCCCCACCCCCUUCCCGCCCCGCAGCUGCUGGUGAGGUGGCCGUGGCCGCGGCUCCGGCGGUCCGGCGCCCCCUUGCCGGCCCUCUGCUACUGGCUUUCUGGUGUUGCAUAUCUUUGGAGUCAUCGUCGUCGAAGGCAUUGGUCUGUGAUUUCGUCGCUGUUUGACUACUUCGUCUACAGUCGAGGGUUUGUGGAACAUGGGCAAGGGGAAGGCUGACGGCGUGGGU
Molecule: long non-coding RNA, 248 nt
Organism: Triticum dicoccoides
Lineage: Eukaryota; Viridiplantae; Streptophyta; Magnoliopsida; Poales; Poaceae
Exons: 3
Source: RefSeq, a predicted model, not a curated record